CCCAUAUUGUUUUAGGAGUUGACAAAUCACAAGAUUUGCCAAGUAAAAAAUAUCAAACUCUUGUAGAUGCUCUUAGUUUGCUAGAUAUAGAUUGAAAAGCCAUGCAAAUCCCAGUGACAAUCAUGGCAUAUACAUGAUGUAUUGUUUUUGGUGAACUAUAUAUGUACGUAGUCUGCAAAGUUGGAUGCAGAUAUAUUAUAUGUAUUCAUGCCAACCAAACAAAAGCACCAUUAUUGGAGUGUGUGGCUAACAAAACUCCUGAUAAAUUAUGAUUCAUCGAUGGCUAAUGCAGAGCUUACAUAUGCACAUAGGCGGCCGGACAGGUGAUAUAAUUAUGCAUCCAUGGCUAAUGCAGAGGUUAUGGACAUAGUCUGCCAGGUGGUUAAGCCUUUAAUGAUAUAGAUCAUGAAAAAUCUACAAAGUAAUAAUCAAAAUGGAAUGUUUAUAAAACAUGAUCAUGUGGGUCAAGGUCCUCCUUGGAAUGGAGAUUCAUCCCCCCCUAUUUUCUGUGUAUUUCUAGUGAAAAUGAUUCCUAUAAAAUCCCUGGAUGUUCCAAAUUAAGGGUCUAAAUGAUGGAGGAGAAUAUACACAAUUAGCCAGAUAAGGUCAUGGCAUUAUUCACUGAGAUCCUAGUAUGAUUUGUCUAACAAUUUUAUUUUAUAUUUGAAGAUGGUGAUACUCUACUCCAUAACAAUAUAAUGCUGUUGUAUGGGAGGGGGCUGGUGGUUGUAGUAGGAGUAAAUGGUCU
RNAcentral lists this long non-coding RNA (748 nucleotides) under Sorghum bicolor (sorghum). RNAcentral's name for it is "long non-coding RNA (SBIC_LNC011229)". Lineage: Eukaryota; Viridiplantae; Streptophyta; Magnoliopsida; Poales; Poaceae. The record is from RNAcentral.